ACCCCAAAAUGGGGGAAAUUAACCGAAACCUGAGGGAAAUUCCCCCAAUAUUGAAAGAAUUAACACCAAAAUAUACAGAAUUAACCCCAAAAGUGACAGAAUUGAACCCAAAACUGAGGGAAAUGACCCCAAAAUAGGCAGAAUUAACCCUGAAGUGCCAGAACUGACUCAAAUCUGAAAAAUUUUAUCCCAAAAUGUGGGGAUUUGACCCCAAAAAGUGAUAGAUUUGCUCCAAAAUGGGGAGUUUUGACCCCAAAAUUGGGGGAUUUUGCCUCAAAAUGUGAUAAAUUUGCCCACAAAUGUGGGAUUUUAACCUAAAAUGUGGUGAAUUUACCCUCAAAUGAGGAAACUUUACCCCAAAAUGUGGGGAUUUGACCCCAAAAUCCACAAAAUUUGCCCCAAAAUCAGGGGAUUUUGCCUCAAAAUGUGAUAAAUUUGCCUCAAAUUUGGGGGAAUUUACCCUAAAAUCCUCAUAAUUUUUCCCUAAAUUUGGGAGAUUUUGCCUCAAAAUGAAAUAUUUUUGCCCCAAAGUAUCAGCUUUUUACCCCAAAACUGCAGGAUUUUGCCCCAAAAUGUGAUGUUUCCCCCCAAAUGUCAGCACUUUAUCCCAAAAUCGGAAGAUUUCACCCCAAAAUGUGAGUUACCCCAAAAUGUCAGCAUUUUACCCCAAAAUGAGAUACAUUUGCCCCAAAAUGUCGGCAUUUUACCCCAAAAUCAGAGGAUUUUACCCCAAAAUUGGAGGAUUUUGCUCCAAAAUGAGAUACAUUUGCCCCAAAAUGUCAGCAUUUUACCCCAAAAUGUGAUACAUUUGCCCCCAAAUAUCAGCACUUUACACCAAAACUGGAGGAUUCUGCCCCAAAAUUUCAGCAUUUUAACCCAAAAUCCAAAGACUUUGCCCCAAAAUCUCAGCAUUUUACCCCAAAAUCAGAAGAUUUUGCCCCAAAAGGAGCUGAUUUUGGACCCCCAAACCCCACAGAACCCCACAGACUCCUUUCAUCCCAUAGAACCCAAUGGACCCCUCCCCCCCA
RNAcentral lists this long non-coding RNA (1028 nucleotides) under Phasianus colchicus (ring-necked pheasant). RNAcentral's name for it is "lncRNA (ENSPCLG00000017294.1)". Lineage: Eukaryota; Metazoa; Chordata; Aves; Galliformes; Phasianidae. The record is from RNAcentral.